This is a long non-coding RNA of Cyclopterus lumpus (lumpfish), 240 nucleotides long. RefSeq lists it as uncharacterized. Lineage: Eukaryota; Metazoa; Chordata; Actinopteri; Perciformes; Cyclopteridae. The record is from RefSeq and is a predicted model, not a curated record. The transcript is spliced from 3 exons.
AGGCCCCAGCUCAGCCUCUGACAGAUGGGCAGCCCAACCGCUGCCAACUGCUUUCCAUGCAAUAUUCAAGAUACAACAAAGCAAAUUCCAGCCAGAGACGCUGCUGAAAGCUCUGGAAGAAAACCUUGUAAGGUGACCUUGAGAAUUCCUGGCCAGAGGCUCGAGCCUUCUCCCUCCGUGCGGUUCUCCAUCUGUCGGCGGCCGGGCCUCCUCCGCCGGCAGAUGUCUGCUUCCUCGUCC